Molecule: unclassified non-coding RNA, 215 nt
Filed under: Hevea brasiliensis (rubber tree)
Lineage: Eukaryota; Viridiplantae; Streptophyta; Magnoliopsida; Malpighiales; Euphorbiaceae
Source: RNAcentral
GUUUUGGCAAAAUGGCCAUAACUUGGUCUACAAGAACUCAAAUGUAAUGAAACCAGUGACAAAAUGUCCAAAAGAAAUAGACCUAUAAAAUUGGCAUUUUGACAAAAAAACUCAGAAAACAAGAGAACUAGAUCAAACAGUUAGAAUAAGUCAUUGCAUCAAAACCUGCAAUCUGACCAAACUUCACUUGACUCUAGAAUAGUCUUUUAGUCAUA